GGGGCCGUAGUCUAGCUUGGUCUAGGACCCCGGGUUUGGGCCCCGGUAACGGGAGUUCAAAUCUCCCCGGCCCCA
Molecule: transfer RNA, 75 nt
Filed under: Candidatus Aenigmatarchaeota archaeon
Lineage: Archaea; Nanobdellati; Candidatus Aenigmatarchaeota
Description: tRNA-Pro
Rfam family: tRNA
About the family: Transfer RNA (tRNA) molecules are approximately 80 nucleotides in length. Their secondary structure includes four short double-helical elements and three loops (D, anti-codon, and T loops). Further hydrogen bonds mediate the characteristic L-shaped molecular structure. tRNAs have two regions of fundamental functional importance: the anti-codon, which is responsible for specific mRNA codon recognition, and the 3' end, to which the tRNAs corresponding amino acid is attached (by aminoacyl-tRNA synthetases). tRNAs cope with the degeneracy of the genetic code in two manners: having more than one tRNA (with a specific anti-codon) for a particular amino acid; and 'wobble' base-pairing, i.e. permitting non-standard base-pairing at the 3rd anti-codon position.
Source: RNAcentral